UAUGCAGGCGGAUCUUUAAGUCAGGGGUGAAAUCCCGAGGCUCAACCUCGGAACUGCCUUUGAUACUGGAGAUCUUGAGUCCGGGAGAGGUUAGUGGAACUGCGAGUGUAGAGGUGAAAUUCGUAGAUAUUCGCAAGAACACCAGUGGCGAAAGCGGCUAACUGGCCCGGUACUGACGCUGAGAUACGAAAGCGUGGGGAGCAAACA
RNAcentral lists this ribosomal RNA (207 nucleotides) under uncultured bacterium. RNAcentral describes it as "partial 16S ribosomal RNA". It matches the Rfam family "Bacterial small subunit ribosomal RNA", at positions 568 to 774 of the family's 1533-position model. The record is from RNAcentral.